CACGUAGGGUGCAAGCGUUUGUCCGGAAUUAUUGGGCGUAAAGAGCUCGUAGGCGGUUUGUCGCGUCUGCUGUGAAAACGCGAGGCUCAACCUCGCGCCUGCAGUGGGUACGGGCAGACUAGAGUGCGGUAGGGGAGAUUGGAAUUCCUGGUGUAGCGGUGGAAUGCGCAGAUAUCAGGAGGAACACCGAUGGCGAAGGCAGAUCUCUGGGCCGUUACUGACGCUGAGGAGCGAAAGCGUGGGGAGCGAACAGG
Molecule: ribosomal RNA, 254 nt
Filed under: uncultured bacterium
Lineage: Bacteria
Description: partial 16S ribosomal RNA
Rfam family: Bacterial small subunit ribosomal RNA
Source: RNAcentral